AAUCUUCUGCGGUAAAAC
This 18-nucleotide unclassified non-coding RNA is filed under the name Mus musculus (house mouse). RNAcentral describes it as "oocyte_clustered_small_RNA4789". The record is from RNAcentral. Lineage: Eukaryota; Metazoa; Chordata; Mammalia; Rodentia; Muridae.